GGCGGCCGUAACUAUAACGGUCCUAAGGUAGCGAAAUUCCUUGUCGGGUAAGUUCCGACCCGCACGAAAGGCGUAACGAUUUGGGUACUGUCUCGGAGAGAGACUCGGUGAAAUAGACUUGUCUGUGAAGAUGCGGACUACCUGCACCUGGACAGAAAGACCCUAUGAAGCUUUACUGUAGCCUGGAAUUGGGUUCGGGCUCUUCUUGCGCAGCUUAGGUGGAAGGCGUUGAAAGAGAGCUUCCGGGUUCUCUGGAGCCACCAGUGAGAUACCACUCUGGAAGAGCUAGAAUUCUAAUCUCGACCCCUUAGCGGGGCGUGUGACAGUUUCAGGUGGGCAGUUUGACUGGGGCGGUCGCCUCCCAAAGAGUAACGGAGGCGCGCGAUGGUGGGCUCAGAGCGGUCGGAAAUCG
Molecule: ribosomal RNA, 412 nt
Filed under: Nephroselmis pyriformis
Lineage: Eukaryota; Viridiplantae; Chlorophyta; Nephroselmidophyceae; Nephroselmidales; Nephroselmidaceae
Description: partial Bacterial large subunit ribosomal RNA
Rfam family: Bacterial large subunit ribosomal RNA
Source: RNAcentral